RNAcentral lists this ribosomal RNA (578 nucleotides) under Austroglossus microlepis (west coast sole). Its description in RNAcentral is "partial 16S ribosomal RNA". It matches the Rfam family "Bacterial large subunit ribosomal RNA", at positions 1848 to 2605 of the family's 2925-position model. The record is from RNAcentral. Lineage: Eukaryota; Metazoa; Chordata; Actinopteri; Pleuronectiformes; Soleidae.
GGAGGUCCUGCCUGCCCGGUGACACUAUGUUAAACGGCCGCGGUAUUUUGACCGUGCAAAGGUAGCGCAAUCACUUGUCUUUUAAAUGAAGACCCGUAUGAAUGGCAACACGAGGGCUUAACUGUCUCCUCUUUCCAGUCAAUGAAAUUGAUCUCCCCGUGCAGAAGCGGGGAUUAACACAUAAGACGAGAAGACCCUAUGGAGCUUCAGAUGAUUGGGCAGACUACGCCAACCCCUUAGAAUAUUAAAAAGAUGAGCUAAAUAUCUCCUGCCCAAAUGUCUUCGGUUGGGGCGACCAUGGGGAAAUACAAAACCCCCACGCGGAAUGUAAGUAAAAUUCCCCCUUCUAUUUACUUCCUAAAAUUAGAAAGACUUUUCGAAAUAGCAGAACUUCUGACCUCCUAUGAUCCGGCUGAGGCCGAUCAACGAACCAAGUUACCCUAGGGAUAACAGCGCAAUCCUCUUUUAGAGUCCAUAUCGACAAGAGGGUUUACGACCUCGAUGUUGGAUCAGGACAUCCUAAUGGUGCAGCAGCUAUUAAGGGUUCGUUUGUUCAACGAUUAAAGUCCUACGUGAUC